RNAcentral lists this ribosomal RNA (120 nucleotides) under uncultured bacterium. Its description in RNAcentral is "partial 16S ribosomal RNA". It matches the Rfam family "Bacterial small subunit ribosomal RNA", at positions 1367 to 1482 of the family's 1533-position model. The record is from RNAcentral.
UACGUUCCCGGGCCUUGUACACACCGCCCGUCACGUCACGAAAGUCGGCAACGACCCGAAGCCGGUGGCCUAACCGUAAGGGAGGGAGCCGUCGAAGGUGGGGCGUAGGCGAUUGGGACG